GUGGUUCUGCACAAGACUUGCAACAAACCCCCAUGUUCGUCACCAAGUCAGAAGGGAAAAUGGUGCUAAUAAACUGCCACAUCUCCGACCCUGAUCUUAGCAAUAUUUUCAUUCAUUGGUCCCAGAAGAAGGCCAGUGCAGCUCCCAAGCAUAUUGCAUACUUGUCCUCUUGGCUUUUCCUUAAAAAACAGUCUGAUGAGGGGUGGUUUACUAUUGAGAAGGACCCCAGCAAACCUGUCUGCACCCUGACAGUGAGCAAAGUAACUCUGCAGGACUCCACCACCUACUACUGUCCUAAGUGGGAUGCACUGCAGUAG
Non-coding RNA from Acanthisitta chloris (rifleman), 317 nucleotides. NCBI's taxonomy places the organism in Eukaryota, Metazoa, Chordata, Aves, Passeriformes, Acanthisittidae. The record is from the annotation of a RefSeq genome assembly.